Long non-coding RNA from Cylas formicarius (sweet potato weevil), 666 nucleotides. RefSeq lists it as uncharacterized. Lineage: Eukaryota; Metazoa; Arthropoda; Insecta; Coleoptera; Brentidae. The record is from RefSeq and is a predicted model, not a curated record. The transcript is spliced from 4 exons.
CACAUGCGCUACAAUUCCAACAUGUUGGGGGGUUUUUUGUAGAGAGUUUAUUUUGUGCUAGGUAGAGGUAGCGAAGUGAUCAGUAUUGGCAAAAUUUGGUCUUGAAAGAGGAAUUUGGUUAGGGUGUAUUGGACAGGUGAUGGUCCCAACGGGAAAGUUUUGUCGAAAACCCCUGGAGUUUUGGAAGAUCGUAUCAAGAGCAUAUUUUCACUAAACUGGAGAAAUAUUGAAUAGGAAAUGGAGAAACCUGAAAAAAAUCUACCCAAGCACUAAAGACAAUAUAGGUUAAUGAAAUACAUAGAGAGGACAAAACAGUUAACCUCCGUAACCUAAUAACCUUGACAGUAGUGCUUGUUAUAAGGAAAAAAGCCCCUUGUCGAAAAUAAAAAGGACCCACCUGCUAUCCCAGUGACUUCACAGAUGGAAACCACUCCAAUCAGGUUCUAUAGAAGUACCAAGACUAGGGAGUCAAACAGUGGAAUGUUUUAUCUAAGGAGAAGGCUGACAAAUAUUGAGGAGGCUCGAAUACAAGAAAUUAACCUCUUACGAAACGCCAUUGAAAGAAGCAAGAAAAUCCAGGAGUAAAGAAAUAAAAUUUUGGACUUAUUAUGUGAAUUACAAAAAAAAAGUAGCAAUAAUUCGAAAACAUUUUUAUUUGUUAUAAAA